ACUCCACUGUUUGGCUGGGAAAGGACCGAGACGCGCUCAGUGCACAGGGGGCCGGCUGCGGCCAUAAAUCUCCGGGCGGGCCCUCCUUCCCGCUGCUCACGCCGGGGUGCUCCGGGCCGGUCUCGUGUCCCGGGCCACGCCGCGCACCCUGCUCACCCCAUCACGGCCUGGGGACCCGGAGACUGCGCAGGGAACCACGCCAGGAGCUUCUCCGUUCACCAAAGAGAGGGAACGGCCUCGUUCCUCGGUGUCAACACCAUCCAUCUCUGAGGGCGCUGGACCCUGAGGUGGCCCGAGCUUCACAGGAUCACCGCCUUGGGGUAGGGGCGCCCGGGCCUGGCAUUUCCUCCUAGGAAGGCUCGGUGAGACUGGGAUGGGCAUGCGGCUCUCCGCUCGAGCCCAACUCCGGUGCCACCUGCACCACGGAGGGGUGACCCCAGGGUCAGGGUCAGAGCGGCUUCUCAGAAUUCAGCUUGCCACCUCUCCGCGGACCCUGCCUUCAUCUCGUGCCUCCUCAGAGCCCUCUGCGGGCGCAUGAAGGGCCUUUUUUUUUUUUUUUUUUUUUUUUUUUGGCACAGGUGGACCAACGGGGGGUGUGACUGUGGGCACCGUGCGCGGAGGCGGAGGCUCAUCUGGUUCCCACCCUCCGUGCCGCUGGAUGCCCCAGGAUUUUCUCCAACCGGGGUCCCGGCUUGGAGCCCUCCUUGGUGCGAGCUUUGGCUCAGCAAUGGGGAAAGCGGGAAUGGGUCUCGCCCUUGUGGCUGCCUGGUGGAAGCGGCGGUUUUGACACACGAAUAGUCGUGGGGAGCAGAUCCAGAGAGGGCGCAUUUGCAAUAAUAACGCUUAGUUUAUCUCUGCCAGAGGGGCGGGAACAGGCCUUCGCGCUGGUGUCUUACAUCAGCCAAGCAAACCAUGGGCGCGAUUGGAGCCAACCACCUCCAGCGGGGUUUUGCUCCAGACUUAAGGUGCACGGAAACCGGAGCAUUCAGCCCUUCAUGGAUGCCUCCCGAAAACCUCACCAUGCCAGUGACACGACUGCAAACGGCGGGUGGCACAUGCCGGGGGCUUGGGAUGGGAGGGUUUGGAAACCUCGCUCCAAGGACGCCCUCAGCCAAGGAGCUUCGGCUCCUUCCUAGAAUUUCUAGAAGCACUUUUGGAGGGACCGAGGGCUUCCGGCCGGGCCCAGAGGAAUUUGAGCGCUUGCCCGGGCAGGCAGAAGCGCAGCCUGGGAGUGGAGAGGCUGCUGGGCCACAUUCCGGCCCAGCUUCCCCCGCUAGGCCCCAGCCCUGCCGCGGCGCCCCAGGAAGCACCUCCGAAAACAAAGCGCUGUGGUUUCAGCCCAAGGUUAAAGUCCACCGCGAGCGUGUUUUUUCCCCCCUCCAGAAUCUAAGAGCGAUAGCGUUUCUCCAAAUAAACCGCCAAUAAAUCAGCUCCCGGGGGCGCCUGCUGAAGAGCUCUGGUGACCUUGGGGGAUGGUUUUUCUGCCUGACCCGUCUGAGCACAGGCUUUGGGGAGGAGGGGGCAGUGUCAGCCCUACCCCUCCAGAGAGACGCGGAAGAGGGAAUGGCCAAGGGCAUUCGUGGGUGAUUACAGCAGUACGUGUGUACCCAGAGGAGAUGGGAGAGGCUUGGAAUGGGGGAAAGGGGCGACUGUGGUUAUCCGGGGGCCUGUAGUGCGCGGUCAGGAGGCGUUUGUGAUUGCGAGGAGGGCUGCUUGCUGUCGGUUCAACGAUUGCUGGAGCGCCGGCGGUGUCGGCACAGGUCUAGGCAUGGGGAAAGCACCACUGGGGACAGACACGGCCGCUUUGGGGCCCCGAGUCUUUGUCUGCCUGGGACUGGAUGUGUUUGUGUCGGUGUGACUAAUGGGAUUUAUGGAUGUCAGUGCCAGGGUGACUGAUGAAGGGCUUGGCAGCACGUGUGUUUGGGGAGAGGCGCUGCACCUAGGUGGGGAGUGGGUGCCCCGGGAGAGGACUGUCCCUUCUCUUAGAGGUUCCUUCCCCCACCCCCUCCCUGCCGGCUCCCAGCUUUGUUUAGGCCUCUGAACCCCUCCGGGGCAGGCCUGUGCACGCCGAGUUCUGCAGCAAAUUCCACGGCCAGCCUGUCCCUCAGAGGCACCUCAGCACGCCCCACCUCUCCCAGCCCCACCUCCCCAGCACACGCCACGCGUCCCAAAUCCAGGCUGUCCCACCCCCUUCCCAGGCAGAGCCUUCCCAGUUUGCUCUUUUCCCAUCUGAACUCCUUAUGGUGUGCUCUGAGCCCUGCUUCAGGCAGGCUUUGACGACCGUAUGGUUUGGGUACCGGCAUACCCAUUUAACAGAUGAAAAAGUUGAGGUGCAGAAAGGAGAUGUGACAAGCCCACGCAGCCAGGAAGUAGCAGGCACCCU
This is a long non-coding RNA of Homo sapiens (human), 2383 nucleotides long. Ensembl annotates it as long intergenic non-protein coding RNA 3073. NCBI's taxonomy places the organism in Eukaryota, Metazoa, Chordata, Mammalia, Primates, Hominidae. The record is from Ensembl.